RNAcentral lists this ribosomal RNA (460 nucleotides) under uncultured bacterium. RNAcentral describes it as "partial 16S ribosomal RNA". It matches the Rfam family "Bacterial small subunit ribosomal RNA", at positions 338 to 795 of the family's 1533-position model. The record is from RNAcentral.
CCUACGGGUGGCAGCAGUGAGGAAUAUUGGUCAAUGGGCGCGAGCCUGAACCAGCCAAGUAGCGUGAAGGAUGAAUGCCCUACGGGUUGUAAACUUCUUUUAUAAAGGAAUAAAGUGAGGCACGUGUGCCUUUUUUUAUGUACUUUAUGAAUAAGGAUCGGCUAACUCCGUGCCAGCAGCCGCGGUAAUACGGAGGAUCCUAGCGUUAUCCGGAUUUAAUGGGUUUAAAGGGAGCGUAGUUGGGUUGUUAAGUCAGUUGUGAAAGUUUGCGGCUCAACCGUAAAAUUGCAAGUGAUACUGGCAGUCGUGAGUACAGUUGAGGUAGGCGGAAUUCGUGGUGUAGCGGUGAAAUGCUUAGAUAUCACGAAGAACUCCGAUUGCGAAGGCAGCUUACUAAGCUGCCACUGACAUUGAUGCUCGAAAGUGUGGGUAUCAAACAGGAUUAGAUACCCCAGUAGUC